RNAcentral lists this transfer RNA (99 nucleotides) under Streptomyces sp. CA-256286. RNAcentral's name for it is "tRNA-Thr". Lineage: Bacteria; Bacillati; Actinomycetota; Actinomycetes; Kitasatosporales; Streptomycetaceae. The record is from RNAcentral.
UCGUUCUGCAGGGCGAGGCUGGCGACCCGGGCCCGCUCGUACCGGGUCGACUCCCGGGGCUUCCCAUCGGUGCCCGCGAUCCACCAGCGGCUGGGCGAA